Molecule: ribosomal RNA, 368 nt
Filed under: Aromobates molinarii (Las Playitas rocket frog)
Lineage: Eukaryota; Metazoa; Chordata; Amphibia; Anura; Aromobatidae
Description: partial 12S ribosomal RNA
Rfam family: Bacterial small subunit ribosomal RNA
Source: RNAcentral
UUUAAUUACACCCCCUCUCGCCCGGGAACUACGAGCCAAGCUUAAAACCCAAAGGACUUGACGGUACCCCACAUCCACCUAGAGGAGCCUGUCCUAUAAUCGAUAACCCCCGUUUAACCUCACCAUUUUUAGCUAUUCAGCCUGUAUACCUCCGUCGUCAGCUUACCACGUGAGCGUCAGUGAGCUCAAUGUUCUUCAACCACACGUCAGGUCAAGGUGCAACUCAUGAAAUGGGAAGAGAUGGGCUACACUCUCUAUUUUAGACUAUACGAAAGACUACCAAUGAAAAUUUGUCGGAAGGCGGAUUUAGCAGUAAAAAGAAACCAAAGAGUUCUUUUAAAUCUGGCACUGGGGUGUGUACACACCGG